RNAcentral lists this ribosomal RNA (305 nucleotides) under uncultured bacterium. Its description in RNAcentral is "bacterial SSU rRNA". It matches the Rfam family "Bacterial small subunit ribosomal RNA", at positions 334 to 632 of the family's 1533-position model. The record is from RNAcentral.
GUAUCCUACGGGGCGCAGCAGUGGGGAAUAUUGCGCAAUGGGCGAAAGCCUGACGCAGCGACGCCGCGUGAGGGAUGAAGGUCUUCGGAUCGUAAACCUCUGUCAGCAGGGAAGAACGGUCACUGUGCUAAUCGGCAGUGAAUUGACGGUACCUGCAAAGGAAGCACCGGCUAACUCCGUGCCAGCAGCCGCGGUAAUACGGAGGAUGCGAGCGUUAUCCGGAUUUAUUGGGUUUAAAGGGUGCGCAGGCGGCCUGUUAAGUCAGCGGUAAAAGCCCGGGGCUCAACCCCGGCGAGCCGUUGAAA